AACGAACGCUGGCGGCAUGCCUAACACAUGCAAGUCGAACGAGAAAGCCCUUCGGGGUGAGUAGAGUGGCGCACGGGUGAGUAAUGCAUAGGAACGUACCCUUGGGUUGGGGAUAACUACGGGAAACCGUGGCUAAUACCGAAUGGCCUCGCAAGAGUAAAGGUGGCGCAAGCUACCGCCAAAGGAUCGGCCUAUGUCCCAUUAGCUAGUUGGCGGGGUAAUGGCCCACCAAGGCGACGAUGGGUAGCUGGUCUGAGAGGAUGAUCAGCCACACUGGGACUGAGACACGGCCCAG
Molecule: ribosomal RNA, 295 nt
Filed under: uncultured bacterium
Lineage: Bacteria
Description: partial 16S ribosomal RNA
Rfam family: Bacterial small subunit ribosomal RNA
Source: RNAcentral